RNAcentral lists this unclassified non-coding RNA (1599 nucleotides) under Hevea brasiliensis (rubber tree). The record is from RNAcentral. Lineage: Eukaryota; Viridiplantae; Streptophyta; Magnoliopsida; Malpighiales; Euphorbiaceae.
CGUAUUCCCGUCUACUAAUUAGAAAAAAAAUAUAUCUCCUGCUAGCGCUAGGUCUCCCACGUCCCUCAAAAAGACGACCACCGCGGCUCGCGUGUCGCCUCGUCAUCAUCCAGCGAACUAUCAAUUAGACUUAUUGCCCCGCGCGUCACAUUGUACUUGGACUCUUUAAACAGAAAUCCGCCCUGAAAUUCAAUUACAGAGAUCGAUAAUGGCUGAGCAACCCACGACGAUAGAGCACAAGGCAUACGCCCGUGUUGGUCUUUUGGGCAACCCAAGCGACGUUUAUUAUGGCCGUACCAUCUCUUUCAGCCUCGGCAACUUUUGUGCCACCGUUCAAUUGCAGCCCUCCGAUGAUCUCGUCAUCAAGCCCCAUCCUAAACACGAUCUUGUCCAAUUCUCUUCCCUCGAUCACUUGGUGAAUCGGUUGCAAAGUGAAGGCUACUAUGGAGGAGUGCGAUUGCUGAUGGCGAUUUGUAGGGUUUUCUAUAAGCAUUGUAAAGAGAACCAGAUUGAUCUUCAUAGCGGGAAUUUCACUCUUUCUUAUGAUACUAACAUUCCUCGCCAGACAGGGCUUUCAGGUUCUAGUGCUAUUGUAACUGCGGCCUUGAACUGCCUUCUCGAUUUCUACAAAGUCCGGCAUUUGAUCAAAGUUGAAGUCAGACCUAAACUUGUUCUCAAUGCUGAGGAAGAACUUGGAAUUGUUGCUGGCCUUCAAGAUCGAGUGGCACAGGUCUAUGGAGGCCUUGUUUAUAUGGAUUUUUCUAAGGAAAAUAUGGAUAAGUUGGGGCAUGGCAUCUACACACCCAUGGAUAUUAGUCUACUUCCACCUCUCCAUCUCAUCUAUGCUGAGAAUCCAAGUGAUUCUGGGAAGGUACAUAGUACAGUUCGGCAAAGGUGGCUAAAUGGUGACAAAUUUAUUAUAUCAUCCAUGGCAGAAGUUGCAGAUAUAGCGUUAGAAGGACGAACUGCAAUUCUUGACAAAGAUUAUGCCAAACUUGCAGGCCUGAUGAAUCGUAAUUUUGAUCUUCGAAGGAGCAUGUUUGGGGAUGAUGUUAUUGGUGCUUUAAACAUAGAAAUGGUAGAGGUGGCCCGAAGGGUAGGAGCUGCUUCAAAAUUUACAGGUAGUGGCGGAGCUGUUGUCGUGUACUGCCCUGAGGGGCCUUCUCAAGUAAAGCUUCUAGAGGACGCUUGUCAGAAAGCUGGUUUUGUCAUUCAAACUGUGCAAGUUAUUCCUCCACUUCUUAACGAAGAUGAUCUCAAGACCCUGUUAUAACGGGAAUUUUCAGACAAGGGGUCUCAGUAAUUUGAGUCUCUUUCCCUUGUAAUUCACCGAAUAACCCACUAUCUCCAGUCGGUAAUGACCUCCCAUAGGCAUUAUCUAAGUUACGUGGAACCUCCAUCGUUGCUCCAUAUUUCAUUUAUUUGCGUCUUCUAAUAAAGUUCCUUGCCUUCAGAAUGUGCCUCGCGAGAUUUUUUUUUCCCUGAGAAUUUUAUAUGGGAAAAUGCCAUUUGAAAGUAUUAUAUUAUUCUCAUAAGCAAACACUAUAUUAUGCUGAAAUUAGGGGUGAGCAUUAUUAGGUUCAAACUGAAUAAAUCGAA